GACGAACGCUGGCGGUGUGCUUAACACAUGCAAGUCGAACGGUAAGGCCCUUUCGGGGGUACACGAGUGGCGAACGGGUGAGUAACACGUGAGUAACCUGCCCUCAUCUCUGGGAUAACAGUCGGAAACGGUUGCUAAUACUGGAUAUGAGCUUGCAAGGCAUCUUGUGGGUUGGAAAGAUUUUUUUUGGUUGGGGAUGGACUCGCGGCCUAUCCGCUUGUUGGUGAGGUAGUGGCUCACCAAGGCUUCGACGGGUAGCCGGCCUGAGAGGGCGACCGGCCACAUUGGGCCUGCGAUACGGCCCAAACUCCUACGGGAGGCAGCAGUGGGGAAUAUUGCACAAUGGACGGAAGUCUGAUGCAGCAACGCCGCGUGCGGGAUGACGGCCUUCGGGUUGUAAACCGCUUUCAAUUGUGACGAAGCUUUUUUGUGACGGUAGCAGUAGAAGAAGCACCGGCUAACUACGUG
This 468-nucleotide ribosomal RNA is filed under the name uncultured bacterium. RNAcentral describes it as "partial 16S ribosomal RNA". It matches the Rfam family "Bacterial small subunit ribosomal RNA", at positions 28 to 507 of the family's 1533-position model. The record is from RNAcentral.